GAUGAACGCUAGCGGGAGGCUUAAUACAUGCAAGUCGAGGGGUAACAGGGGCUUCGGCCCGCUGACGACCGGCGCACGGGUGAGUAACGCGUACGCAACUUACCUCCAAGCGAGGGAUAGCCCUGGGAAACUGGGAUUAAUACCUCAUGUGAUUAUGAUGCCGCAUGGUGUUAUAAUUAAAGUUCAGGCGCUUGGAGAUGGGCGUGCGUCCUAUUAGCUAGUUGGUGAGGUAACGGCUCACCAAGGCGACGAUAGGUAGGGGCGUGAGAGCGUGGCCCCCACCACGGUACGUNAGACACGACCGGACCUCUACCGGAGGGCGA
RNAcentral lists this ribosomal RNA (323 nucleotides) under uncultured bacterium. Its description in RNAcentral is "bacterial SSU rRNA". It matches the Rfam family "Bacterial small subunit ribosomal RNA", at positions 28 to 351 of the family's 1533-position model. The record is from RNAcentral.